GAUGAACGCUAGCGGGAGGCCUAACACAUGCAAGCCGAGCGGUAUUGUUUCUUCGGAAAUGAGAGAGCGGCGUACGGGUGCGGAACACGUGUGCAACCUGCCUUUAUCUGGGGGAUAGCCUUUCGAAAGGAAGAUUAAUACUCCACAAUAUAUUGAACGGCAUCGUUUAAUAUUGAAAGCUCCGGCGGAUAGAGAUGGGCACGCGCAAGAUUAGCUAGUUGGUGAGGUAACGGCUCACCAAGGCGAUGAUCUUUAGGGGGCCUGAGAGGGUGAUCCCCCACACUGGUACUGAGACACGGACCAGACUCCUACGGGAGGCAGCAGUGAGGAAUAUUGGUCAAUGGGUGCAAGCCUGAACCAGCCAUCCCGCGUGAAGGACGACUGCCCUAUGGGUUGUAAACUUCUUUUGUAUAGGGAUAAACCUACCCUCGUGAGGGUAGCUGAAGGUACUAUACGAAUAAGCACCGGCUAACUCCGUGCCAGCAGCCGCGGUAAUACGGAGGGUGCAAGCGUUAUCCGGAUUUAUUGGGUUUAAAGGGUCCGUAGGCGGACUUAUAAGUCAGUGGUGAAAGCCUGUCGCUUAACGAUAGAACUGCCAUUGAUACUGUAAGUCUUGAGUAUAUUUGAGGUAGCUGGAAUAAGUAGUGUAGCGGUGAAAUGCAUAGAUAUUACUUAGAACACCAAUUGCGAAGGCAGGUUACCAAGAUAUAACUGACGCUGAGGGACGAAAGCGUGGGGAGCGAACAGGAUUAGAUACCCUGGUAGUCCACGCCGUAAACGAUGCUAACUCGUUUUUGGGCUUUAGGGUUCAGAGACCAAGCGAAAGUGAUAAGUUAGCCACCUGGGGAGUACGCUCGCAAGAGUGAAACUCAAUGGAAUUGACGGGGGCCCGCACAAGCGGUGGAUUAUGUGGUUUAAUUCGAUGAUACGCGAAGAACCUUACCAAGACUUAAAUGGGAAUUGACAGCUUUAGAAAUAGAGCUUUCUUCGGACAAUUUUCAAGGUGCUGCAUGGUUGUCGUCAGCUCGUGCCGUGAGGUGUUAGGUUAAGUCCUGCAACGAGCGCAACCCCUGUCACUAGUUGCCAUCAUUCAGUUGGGGACUCUGGUGAGACUGCCUACGCAAGUAGAGAGGAAGGCGGGGAUGACGUCAAAUCAUCACGGCCCUUACGUCUUGGGCCACACACGUAAUACAAUGGCCGGUACAGAGGGCAGCUACACAGCGAUGUGAUGCAAAUCUCGAAAGCCGGUCUCAGUUCGGAUUGGAGUCUGCAACUCGACUCUAUGAAGCUGGAAUCGCUAGUAAUCGCGCAUCAGCCAUGGCGCGGUGAAUACGUUCCCGGGCCU
Molecule: ribosomal RNA, 1345 nt
Filed under: uncultured bacterium
Lineage: Bacteria
Description: bacterial SSU rRNA
Rfam family: Bacterial small subunit ribosomal RNA
Source: RNAcentral